CGGAGGUUCCGAGGUGGGCCGCUCGGUUCCUGAUACAACCUCGGCAGGGCAACCUGCCGGCGGUACCAAACCACACUCUUCGAAUCUUGCAGUACACGUACAGAAAAUAAGACUAUCAAAACUUUCAACAACGGAUCUCUUGGCUCCAGCAUCGAUGAAGAACGCAGCGAAAUGCGAUAAGUAAUGUGAAUUGCAGAAUUUAGUGAAUCAUCGAAUCUUUGAACGCACAUUGCGCCCUUUGGCAUUCCUUAGGGCAUGCCUGUUCGAGCGUCAUCUACCCACCCCUCAAGCCUUGCUUGUCGUUGGGCGCAUGUCCCCCCCACCCCCGGGUAACCCGGCGGAGGACUCGCCCUAAAAUCAUUGGCGGCCCCCGAACCGGCGCAGAGUCCAGCACCUUUGCGGCUCCGGGCCGGCGCGUUGGCGUCCAGCGAAGCUACUUUUAUUACUUUUGACCUCGGAUCAGGUAGGGAUACCCGCUGAACUUAAGCAUAUCAAUAAGGCGGAGGAAAGGAUCAUUAUAGAGACACUAGCGAGAUAGUGCCCUUGCAUUUGCUGGCGGAGGUUCCGAGGUGGGCCGCUCGGUUCCUGAUACAACCUCGGCAGGGCAACCUGCCGGCGGUACCAAACCACACUCUUCGAAUCUUGCAGU
This 649-nucleotide ribosomal RNA is filed under the name Pseudoastrosphaeriella africana. RNAcentral describes it as "eukaryotic LSU rRNA". The stretch from base 120 to 273 matches the Rfam family "5.8S ribosomal RNA". The record is from RNAcentral. Lineage: Eukaryota; Fungi; Ascomycota; Dothideomycetes; Pleosporales; Pseudoastrosphaeriellaceae.